CCUAAUUGAAGAGAUGCACUAGAAUACAUGAAUAUAUAUAAACUAUAAAAACCUGUCUAUUAACAUUCAAAAAAAGAGAGUAUUUCAAGUGCUGAACAUAUAUCAAGAACAGCAUUUAUUGACAUAUAUAUUGAAAUCCAGAUAAAGCAUAAAGAAAUUACUUAAGAAUUUUUAAUAUUCAAGAGAGAGAGGUCAUCUCAUACUUUUACUUCUGCAAGUAGCACAGACACACAUGUAAAAAAACAUACAUGACAUACAAUAUUUAUGCCAUCUUUAAUCACUUAAUAAACCAAAACAGAACAAAUCUGUUUUGAGCUUAUAUACGAUUUCAGAUGUUAAAAUCUAAGAAAUCCAUACAGAGAAAUGAAAUAACUCUCAAACUUUGUAUAACAAUAGUAGUAUUAGAUUCUUAUUGAUCUAGUAAGCAAUCGGACCGUGAUGCUUCAAUUCCCCAAGAAAGAAGAGAAAAGUGGAUAAGAUGUAUUUGAUAUUAAAAUCAUUUUUGGUGAAGAAGAGAAGAGAGAAAACCUUUAGAUCAGAUUAGACUGGGAGUGAAAAGGCAAGCAGGUAGAGGUAGAGGUAGGGUUUCUUCUUCUUGAGUGAACCCAUCUUCAUCGGCUAAACCUCCUCUUUCUUCCUUCUCUUUCUGGUUCUUCCGAGCUUGGUUGGGGUGCUGGAAGGCGGUAGUUUUGGUGCGGUUGGUAGAUAGCAAAAGAUGGAGUGGCGAUGAUGAAAGUGAGGGAAUAAUGAUGAGAGGAAGAGGGUAGAGGACAUGAUGAUGGCUGCAGGCUGUUUUUUUUUUGCUUUGAAUAGAGAGAUAAAUAUCACAAAGAUUUGCGUGCUUAUUUAGUAUUAUACAAGAGAGGUUUUAUGCUUUGCUUCCUUGUUUCACAUGGGGAUAAUUAUCAUGGACGCCAGCCGAAGCAAUUUGCUUUUCUCGAUCCUAACCCAAAAGAUUGAGAAGUUUCUACACACUCUUCUUGUCUACAAUAUAUUGAUAUGCAAGAAGGGCGUACAAUAUAAUACUGAAUGUAAAGAUAGGAAGAAUGGACUAGCUUUGGUGGUGGUUUACCC
RNAcentral lists this long non-coding RNA (1074 nucleotides) under Theobroma cacao (cacao). RNAcentral's name for it is "long non-coding RNA (TCAC_LNC006452)". Lineage: Eukaryota; Viridiplantae; Streptophyta; Magnoliopsida; Malvales; Malvaceae. The record is from RNAcentral.